This 474-nucleotide ribosomal RNA is filed under the name uncultured prokaryote. Its description in RNAcentral is "bacterial SSU rRNA". It matches the Rfam family "Bacterial small subunit ribosomal RNA", at positions 419 to 905 of the family's 1533-position model. The record is from RNAcentral.
GUGAUGGUAAACCGCUAUCGAGGGGGACAAAUGGCACCUUGAAUGAACCCUCUGGGAAGGACAGGCUCAACACUUGCCCUCAGCCGAAUUGAGAGGAGCUCUCCAAACGUGAUUCGGUAUCACUGGGCUUAAAGAGUUCGUAGGCGGCUUUACAGGUGGGGUGUGAAAGCCCUCGGCUCAACCGAGGAAUUGCGCCCCAAACCGUAAGGCUUGAGGGAUAUAGGGGUAAGCGGAACAGAUGGUGGAGCGGUGAAAUGCAUUGAUAUCAUCUGGAACACCGGUGGCGAAGGCGGCUUACUGGAUAUUUUCUGACGCUGAGGAACGAAAGCUAGGGUAGCGAACGGGAUUAGAUACCCCGGUAGUCCUAGCCGUAAACGAUGAGCACUAGUUUGAAGGACUCUCACAGUCUUUCGAACGUAGCGAAAGUGUUAAGUGCUCCGCCUGGGGAGUAUGGUCGCAAGGCUGAAACUCAAA